AAAUAUAAGACAAUAUUAUAUAAUCCAGAUUAAUCCAAUCUAAUACAAUCCUAAUAAUUAGUCCAAUAACAUAAGGCAAAGAGUUGUAUUGAGGGCUACAAUAGUAUCAAACUCAUAAAUCAAUGAAAUAUUUUUUGUCAUUAAGUGUAAAGUGCUAGUAAAUAACAAAUAAAAUAAUAUGAGGGUAGAUCUUGAUACACAUGGCUAUACAUAAAAAUAAAGUCAGACAUAAGUACAAAUAGAAACUUACUGCUUAAUUUUUUUUCCCCAAAAAAUCUGAUAGGUAGGAGAGAUGUCUACUCAUACUAAUUAUAUAAUUGAGGAAGAAAUAGUUUAAGGGUAUGUUCACUUCUCAGUUUGAAAAAUUGGAAUCCGAAAUUGAAACUGUUGAUAGCGUUUGCUUCAUAAAAUAAGAGUGGGAAUCGAAAUUGGAAAUGUGCGGGGCCCAUAAAUUUGGGAAUCAUUCUCAUUGAUUUCAUUUCGAGGGGUUGGGAAUCGGAGUAUAUCCAUUUUACCCCUAUUGAAUUUUCAGAAUCCCCAUAUUGCUUGCAAUCAAGUUCUGUCAUUUUUGCAUUCUGGUCCAUGCAGAACUUAUAAAACCAUCCAAAAUUUUUGUAUUAUUUACAAAUAGGCCCUUUAUUAUUUAUUAGCAAUAAUAAAAAUCAAAAUGAUGAUGAUGAUCAUGAUGUUGUCGUCAUUAUUAUUAAUACCAUUAUUGUUAUAAAUAUUAAACAAUAUUAUCAUUCGUAUACCCUAUAAAUGCUCUAUUAUUAAAAAUACUACAACACUUUGAGGGUGUAUCAAUCGUCCACCAUAAAUUGACAAAAGCUAUCUGCCGACUAUCAAACCGUUAGCUGUCGUUUGAAAGUUAACGGAAUUAUAACGAAUUGACGAUUUUACCCUUGAAAAGUAUCACUUGUAUACCCUUAAAUUUUUUUAUUAUCACUUGUAUACCCUUAAAUUAUCACUUGUAUCAUAUGAAAAGACCAAAUUACCCCUCUGGCAUUAUCCUAUUUAAACGGCAAGUAACGGCUUGGUGGACGACAGAUACAUUUUGUCAACUUAGGGUAGACGAUUGAUACACCCUCAAAGUGUCGUAGUAUAUUACUAUUUAUUGUUAAUAUUUAAUAUUAUUUUAAUUAUGACUA
This 1148-nucleotide long non-coding RNA is filed under the name Citrus x clementina. RNAcentral's name for it is "Citrus clementina (C. clementina) long non-coding RNA (CCLE_LNC004265)". Lineage: Eukaryota; Viridiplantae; Streptophyta; Magnoliopsida; Sapindales; Rutaceae. The record is from RNAcentral.